GCUGAACCCUGAAGCUAACUGAUAACUCAUUUCUCUCAAAUAGGCUCAGAGGUAACUCAGGGAUGAGUCAUCACAGGAAGUAGUAGGAUAUGUGGUGUCAUAGACUACCAUGGAGAAAGAUUCCUGCACGGUGAAGAUUCUGGUCAAUACCCAAACCUUCAAUCCAGAAUGGACUUAGGGGUUAAAGAAAGAAGGGAUCUUUACCUGAGACAAAAUGAGACUGCAAUAAAAUCCACAACACAAGGAAAAUU
Mauremys mutica (yellowpond turtle) is the source of this 251-nucleotide long non-coding RNA. RefSeq lists it as uncharacterized. The record is from RefSeq and is a predicted model, not a curated record. Lineage: Eukaryota; Metazoa; Chordata; Testudines; Geoemydidae. The transcript has 3 exons.